RNAcentral lists this ribosomal RNA (118 nucleotides) under Periophthalmus magnuspinnatus. The record is from RNAcentral. Lineage: Eukaryota; Metazoa; Chordata; Actinopteri; Gobiiformes; Gobiidae.
CACCACAAACCUCCUUGUCAAAGCCUGAUGCUGUCAGAUCUCAGAAGCUAAACAAGAAUGGGCUUGGUUAAUAUUUGGAUGGUUAGACCACUGACAACUCCUGAUGCCAGAGUGGAGC